Molecule: long non-coding RNA, 1588 nt
Organism: Parus major (Great Tit)
Lineage: Eukaryota; Metazoa; Chordata; Aves; Passeriformes; Paridae
Source: Ensembl
AACCUUCAGUUGUGCCUGUUGAAGUAAAAUUUCUGGUCUUUCUGGUACAUCUCUGAAUUAUAUGAAUGGCAUGACAGAAUUUUCUGCUAUCAAAAAAUUAUUGUUGCAGCUUUUUAAGAUACAUUUCUCAUUCUGGUCACUGCUGUUAUGCUACUUCAGCAGCUUUAAGUAGUCAAGCUAAUUGUGACAGCAGUGAUUUGUUUGUUCUGAAUCAGAAGUUUCAUUACGGAAAGUUACUGGCUAUAUUUUGUAACCAUUAGUGUCAGAGAACUUGUACAGGUCAGGAAAUGCGUAGAGCCAGCAGUCUACUCACUUGGAAAGGUAUCCAUAGACAAUAAAGUUUUAUGAACAGAAGUUUAAUGGCAUGGAUCUUUCCAGACUUUCCAAAGAGGCUGAGCAUAAAUGAUUUUUAAUGCUGAAUCCUUUUAGUUAAGUAUCUGCAAGUUUCCCAGGCUGCAUCCUGCUCCACUCCUGUACAAUGGGGCCAUCUGUAAUUGAUGAACCUUCAACCUUUCUGUGUUAAUUUUGUCUAAGCUUUGGGGGAAGGUGUCAAUUAAAAAUUAAAAGAAUCUUCUUUCCAUUAAAUUAAAGAGCAUUUAAAAAAAAGAAAUGCCACCCUCUGAUAGCAGUUUAGCAGCUGGAAGGAUAGUCUAUCAGCCAGCCAGAGAAGGAACAGCAGAAAUGAAUAUACAUGUGUAUCCAUAUGUAGGGCUCGGUUUUCUUGAGCAAUUGCCAUUUUAUCCUGGAGUAACCCAUGAAUCUUUUGCAGGAGGGUGUCAGAUAAUGCUUUCUUCAAACCCAAGCCAGCUGUAUGUGCAGUCAGGGAGAGCCAUAUGGUGCCUCGUGUGCAAGGCUGAUAUUUGCUGCGUUCUGAAGAUAGCUCUAAAGUCUGUCUCAUGGCAUGAGCCCUGAGCUGCAUUUGGCAGCUGCUUUCUGCCUAGGAGAUUCAAGGAUCAAGGGACACACACACUGGAUGGGUUGGAAGGCAGGACAUUUUCCAAAUUACGUAGAAAAGCUGUCCCUCUUCAGGAGGGUGCCUGACCAUCAGGCUGUGCCCAAAGGACAUUCUCUACCCAUCUGUGUCAUGCUGCAAUGGAGAAGCUGUGGAUCCAAAAGUGAAAGAGUGAAUGGAAGCUUUGUUUGCUCUUUAGCCCUGUGCCCAGUGUCCUUGUUUGGAAAAGGCAUAUCUUCAUUCCCUCUUGUGCUUCUGGGACUUCUUUGGUACCCAUUCCUAGCACUAGCAAUGUUAGUGCUAAAAUAGACAUAGCACUUGUUUAGGAGUUUGGGGCUGGAAAAGUGACAAACCUGAACAGGUAGGUGGCACAGUGGAGUGGGCAUACUCUGGAGAAUAUUGCCUGACAGCUGUGAUUAAAUUCCUCACUGUAUCAGCUUGUUUAUCUCUAUCUUUUUUCCCCUAUUCAUAUUCCUGGGGAAAAAAUUGUAGGUUAGAGGAGGAAAAAUGAUAGCUUAGAGACAAGGAAAAUACUAAGUUUGGUUUUAGCUGUUUCCUUUAAAUUAAAGGAAUUGGCAAGAUAGUUAGAAAGAAACUGUAGAGACCAACAGUAGAAGUUAGAUCAUUGUGAGAAAC